Caenorhabditis brenneri is the source of this 71-nucleotide non-coding RNA. Lineage: Eukaryota; Metazoa; Nematoda; Chromadorea; Rhabditida; Rhabditidae. The record is from the annotation of a GenBank genome assembly.
GACCGCGUGGCUCAGUGGCUAACGCGCCUGUCUUUCGAUUUUGAGGUCCCUGGUUCAAUUCCACCCGGCUU